This is a small nuclear RNA of Colobus angolensis palliatus, 131 nucleotides long. NCBI's taxonomy places the organism in Eukaryota, Metazoa, Chordata, Mammalia, Primates, Cercopithecidae. The record is from Ensembl.
GUGUCACAUGAAAGGAGAGAAGGUUAGCAUUCCCCUGGCCAACCCUAGAAGAGGCUCUUGAGCCUAUCUUGGGUCUUGAAUAUUGUAUAGCUUAAGAAAAAACAUUUAACUUCUCUGAGCCUUAAUUUUUU